RNAcentral lists this ribosomal RNA (253 nucleotides) under uncultured bacterium. Its description in RNAcentral is "partial 16S ribosomal RNA". It matches the Rfam family "Bacterial small subunit ribosomal RNA", at positions 524 to 776 of the family's 1533-position model. The record is from RNAcentral.
GACGGAGGAUGCAAGCGUUAUCCGGAAUGAUUGGGCGUAAAGCGUCCGCAGGUGGCAGUUCAAGUCUGCUGUCAAAGACCGGGGCUUAACUUCGGAAAGGCAGUGGAAACUGAACAGCUAGAGUAUGGUAGGGGCAGAGGGAAUUCCUGGUGUAGCGGUGAAAUGCGUAGAUAUCAGGAAGAACAUCGGUGGCGAAGGCGGCUCUCUGGAACGCAACUGACGCUGAGACGCGAAAGCGUGGGGAGCAAACAGG